RNAcentral lists this small RNA (173 nucleotides) under Bacillus sp. (in: firmicutes). RNAcentral's name for it is "Bacillus sp. Magnesium sequence". It matches the Rfam family "M-box riboswitch aptamer (ykoK leader)". From Rfam's summary of the family: M-box riboswitch, also know as ykoK leader is described as a metaloregulatory RNA that sense divalent metals and function as a genetic control element of genes related to divalent metal transport in bacteria. It was first reported upstream of the B.subtilis ykoK gene and genes with related functions in other bacteria. The record is from RNAcentral. Lineage: Bacteria; Bacillati; Bacillota; Bacilli; Caryophanales; Bacillaceae. RNAcentral also lists the same sequence under 1 other name.
AGAUGUCCUCGUUAGGUGAGGCUCCUAUACGAACACAAGCCACUGCCCGGAAACAUCGAAAGAUGCCAAUGGGUUGAACAGGAAUUGCCGGACUAAGGCUCUUCUUAACGUGGCUAAAGGACGAAGGUUCUUUUACGUCGUAUAGUGCCAAAGCUCGGUUGGGGGGGUUCGUU